AGAGUUUGAUCCUGGCUCAGGAUGAACGCUGGCGGCGUGCUUAACACAUGCAAGUCGAACGAAGCACCUUGAUUUGAUUCUUCGGAUGAAGAUCUUGGUGACUGAGUGGCGGACGGGUGAGUAACGCGUGGGUAACCUGCCUCAUACAGGGGGAUAACAGUUAGAAAUGACUGCUAAUACCGCAUAAGACCACAGCACCGCAUGGUGCAGGGGUAAAAACUCCGGUGGUAUGAGAUGGACCCGCGUCUGAUUAGGUAGUUGGUGGGGUAACGGCCUACCAAGCCGACGAUCAGUAGCCGACCUGAGAGGGUGACCGGCCACAUUGGGACUGAGACACGGCCCAAACUCCUACGGGAGGCAGCAGUGGGGAAUAUUGCACAAUGGGGGAAACCCUGAUGCAGCGACGCCGCGUGAGCGAUGAAGUAUUUCGGUAUGUAAAGCUCUAUCAGCAGGGAAGAAAAUGACGGUACCUGACUAAGAAGCACCGGCUAAAUACGUGCCAGCAGCCGCGGUAAUACGUAUGGUGCAAGCGUUAUCCGGAUUUACUGGGUGUAAAGGGAGCGUAGACGGAGUGGCAAGUCUGAUGUGAAAACCCGGGGCUCAACCCCGGGACUGCAUUGGAAACUGUCAAUCUAGAGUACCGGAGAGGUAAGCGGAAUUCCUAGUGUAGCGGUGAAAUGCGUAGAUAUUAGGAGGAACACCAGUGGCGAAGGCGGCUUACUGGACGGUAACUGACGUUGAGGCUCGAAAGCGUGGGGAGCAAACAGGAUUAGAUACCCUGGUAGUCCACGCCGUAAACGAUGACUACUAGGUGUCGGGCAGCAAAGCUGUUCGGUGCCGCAGCAAACGCAAUAAGUAGUCCA
Molecule: ribosomal RNA, 863 nt
Filed under: uncultured bacterium
Lineage: Bacteria
Description: bacterial SSU rRNA
Rfam family: Bacterial small subunit ribosomal RNA
Source: RNAcentral